AAUUGUUCUGUCUAACUCUUUGAAGAAUUGGAUUGGUAUUUUGAUGGGGAUUGCAUUGAAUCUGUAGAUUGCUUUUGGUAAAAUGGCCAUUUUUACUAUAUUAAUCCUGCCAAUCCAUGAGCAUGGGAGAUCUUUCCAUCUUCUGAGGUCUUCUUCAAUUUCUUUCCUCAGUGUCUUGAAGUUCUUAUUGUACAGAUCUUUUACUUGCUUGGUUAAAGUCACACCGAGGUACUUUAUAUUAUUUGGGUCUAUUAUGAAGGGUGUCGUUUCCCUAAUUUCUUUCUCGGCUUGUUUCUCUUUUGUAUAGAGGAAGGCAACUGAUUUAUUUGAGUUAAUUUUAUACCCAGCCACUUUGCUGAAGUUGUUUUUCAGCUUUAGUAGUUCUCUGGUGGAACUUUUGGGAUCACUUAAAUAUACUAUCAUGUCGUCUGCAAAUAGUGAUAUUUUGACCUCUUCUUUUCCGAUCUGUAUCCCCUUGAUCUCCUUUUGUUGUCUGAUUUCUCUGGCUAGAACUUCAAGAACUAUAUUGAAUAAGUAGGGAGAGAGUGGGCAGCCUUGUCUAGUCCCUGAUUUUAGUGGGAUUACUUCAAGUUUCUCUCCAUUUAGUUUAAUGUUAGCAACUGGUUUGCUGUAUAUGGCUUUUACUAUGUUUAGGUAUGGGCCUUGAAUACCUAUUCUUUCCAGGACUUUUAUCAUGAAGGGGUGUUGAAUUUUGUCAAAUGCUUUCUCAUCAUCUAAUGAAAUGAUCAUGU
This 752-nucleotide long non-coding RNA is filed under the name Rattus norvegicus (Norway rat). RNAcentral describes it as "long non-coding RNA NONRATT008788". Lineage: Eukaryota; Metazoa; Chordata; Mammalia; Rodentia; Muridae. The record is from RNAcentral.